This 608-nucleotide ribosomal RNA is filed under the name uncultured fungus. RNAcentral describes it as "eukaryotic LSU rRNA". The stretch from base 234 to 387 matches the Rfam family "5.8S ribosomal RNA". Lineage: Eukaryota; Fungi. The record is from RNAcentral.
CUUGGUCAUUUAGAGGAAGUAAAAGUCGUAACAAGGUCUCCGUAGGUGAACCUGCGGAGGGAUCAUUACACAAAUAUGAAGGCGGGCUGGAACCUCUCGGGGUUACAGCCUUGCUGAAAUAUUCACCCUUGUCUUUUGCGUACUUCUUGUUUCCUUGGUGGGUUCGCCCACCACUAGGACAAACAUAAACCUUUUGUAAUUGCAAUCAGCGUCAGUAACAAAUUAAUAAUUACAACUUUCAACAACGGAUCUCUUGGUUCUGGCAUCGAUGAAGAACGCAGCGAAAUGCGAUAAGUAGUGUGAAUUGCAGAAUUCAGUGAAUCAUCGAAUCUUUGAACGCACAUUGCGCCCUUUGGUAUUCCAAAGGGCAUGCCUGUUCGAGCGUCAUUUGUACCCUCAAGCUUUGCUUGGUGUUGGGCGUCUUGUCUCUAGCUUUGCUGGAGACUCGCCUUAAAGUAAUUGGCAGCCGGCCUACUGGUUUCGGAGCGCAGCACAAGUCGCACUCUCUACCAGCAAAGGUCUAGCAUCCAUUAAGCCUUUUUUUCAACUUUUGACCUCGGAUCAGGUAGGGAUACCCGCUGAACUUAAGCAUAUCAAUAAGCGGAGGA